CCUACGGGAGGCUGCAGUGGGGAAUAUUGCACAAUGGGGGGAACCCUGAUGCAGCGACGCCGCGUGAGUGAAGAAGUAUUUCGGUAUGUAAAGCUCUAUCAGCAGGGAAGAAAGAAAUGACGGUCGCUGACUAAGCAGUCCCUGCUAACUACGUGCCAGCUGCCGCGGUAAUACGUAGGGGGCAAGCGUUAUCCGGAUUUACUGGGUGUAAAGGGAGCGUAGACGGGGAUGCAAGUCUGAAGUGAAAGGCUGGGGCCCAACCCCUGAACUGCUUUGGAAACUGCAUGGCUGGAGUGCAGGAGAGGUAAGUGGAAUUCCUAGUGUAGCGGUGAAAUGCGUAGAUAUUAGGAGGAACACCAGUGGCGAAGGCGGCUUACUGGACUGUAACUGACGUUGAGGCUCGAAAGCGUGGGGAGCAAACAGGAUUAGAUACCCGAGUAGUC
Molecule: ribosomal RNA, 443 nt
Filed under: uncultured bacterium
Lineage: Bacteria
Description: partial 16S ribosomal RNA
Rfam family: Bacterial small subunit ribosomal RNA
Source: RNAcentral